GAUUUUAAAUUUAACGGCCGCGGUAUCCUAACCGUGCAAAGGUAGCGCAAUCACUUGUCCUUUAAAUAGGGACCUGUAUGAAUGGCACAACGAGGGCUUAACUGUCUCCUUUCUCCAGUCAAUGAAAUUGAUCUCCCCGUGCAGAAGCGGGGAUAAAACCAUAAGACGAGAAGACCCUGUGGAGCUUUAGACGAAAAAUAAACUUUGUUAAGCAAACUAACAUGAAAAGAAUAAACAAUAAGAACUUAUUUUGAACUGUCUUCGGUUGGGGCGACCGCGGGGAAAAAUUUAACCCCCAUGAGGAAUGAGGGCUUCAUCCUCCCAACUUAGAGUGGCAACUCAAAGUUACAAAACAUUUGACCUAAGAUGAUCCGGCCUAGCCGAUCAACGAAACCAGUUACCCCAGGGAUAACAGCGCUAUCCUUUCCUAGAGUCCCUAUCGACGAAAGGGUUUACGACCUCGAUGUUGGAUCAGGACAUCCUAAUGGUGCAACCGCUAUUAAGGGUUUGUUUGUUCAACAAUUAAAGUCCUACGUGAUC
Molecule: ribosomal RNA, 540 nt
Filed under: Petroscirtes fallax (deceiver fangblenny)
Lineage: Eukaryota; Metazoa; Chordata; Actinopteri; Blenniiformes; Blenniidae
Description: partial 16S ribosomal RNA
Rfam family: Bacterial large subunit ribosomal RNA
Source: RNAcentral